GUGCGGGCUCCUCGUGGCUAUCUCCGGAGAGAUGUAAUUGGGAGUUCCACACAUGGUGUAAUGCUUCUCGUGAGGCAUCUUCAGCUGAGUCGCCAACCCAAAGUCAGCAAUCUUGACGUUCAUGUUGCUGAAUUCUACAGUCAUUGCAUCCUGGUGGAGAACACAAGGAUUCCUGUUACACUGCUAGCACAUAGAAAAAUUCCUGGAGGAAAGCCACAGGUUGCUGCUCUGCAUCUGCUCAGAGAAUCAACUGUGCCCAAAGCCAUCCAUUUCCCCCAGGAGUUCAAGGCACAGGAAAACUACCUGGAACUUGUAUGUUGCAGUAAGUCAUUAAUGAAAGAUGAAUUACUGAGAACUUGGGAAUUUGUGUUCAUCCUAACACAGAUAUGUGAUGGCAGCUGUGAAAGUAACUGCAGUUCCCCAGAGGCAAAGCAGUGCUGUGUUUGUGCUGCAGCAGCCUGGGCCACAGAAACCACAGUGGGCAGUGCUGUGUUUGUGCUGCAGCAGCCUGGGCCACAGAAACCACAGUGGGGCAGGUGAGGCACCAAAAAUGCCUUUAUCUUACCUGUGGCCUUUUGGACAAACUCCAGUUGUAUCAACCCACGACAUCAGACAAAGCUGCUUUUAAGAACACUGAUGCAAAAAUGAGGUCUUGGGUGGUCAUUUCUGGUUCAAGUAGCGGUUUAUAUAUUUAUUAUAAUUAUACACAACCUUGACAAUCUGUCUUGCCAUUCAAAAAUAAAUCCAAGUCUUGUCAAUUUGCACAUGAUCUGUCACUACUAAGGAUCCCCUUUACAUACAUGGUAAACAUUUUCCAUAUUUAAACACCGCUUUAAAUUCUGACACUCCCAUCUCCCCCCUCAUCCCCUGGAGUUAUGGGUAUCGACUAUGGAAAGAAACUUUUCCAACCACUGCAACAUUCAGGGACUACCAUCUUUUUUGAUCAACUUAAUUAAACUAUUUCAACACUUGGUAGAGGUGGCUGGUUGGUAUAGCUCUUAAUUGCAUUUUUGUUUAAAGUUAUUCUUGAUGGAUUUCAUUGCAAUGAUUCCUGGUUUUCACUGCUUGACGCAUUUCCUUCUGACCAGGAAAGGAAACCAAAGUUUAGCAGCUGUAUCAAGUAAGUCACAUCAAGCACAUUGCUGGCUUAGUAUUCUGCAGUGCCAACAGUCACAUUUAGUUGUUUUCAUUGUUAUUUACAUGUGUAGUAAGUGGUUGAAGUCUUCAAAUUUCAACUGCAGAAAAUUAAGAAUUCAGCUAGGAGUCAGCCACCACACACUUUCUGUAGCUACUAAGAUCUUGUGUUCAUACUCCAACUGCUAUCUUGGGAGCUGAAAUUAUAAUUUAUGAGGCAUUAACGCCUUUUGUUAAGCAACAUGUUUUUUACACCUCUUUUGAGAGUUUCUGUCUCCUGGUGCCUGAAAGAUGAGAAAACCUAAGAGUAGCAGAAGUGUAAGAGGCAAAAGAAUAUUCCUCCAUCCAGUUAAUAAACUCACAGCUAGUGGCAAUUAAUAUAAUAAUCCUCAGAGCAGGCAGACCUUCUACCAGCCCACAACUCAAGUUUGGGCAUCUGAGCUUCACUUGAAAAGGGCUCCCAGAAAUGUGGAAGUAUUACAGUGUGAUUACACAGCAAUGAGAAGUCCUAUUUUGAGGAAUGAGGUUCAUGAUAGCACUCAUCUACAGGAAUUGAAUUUAGCUUCUUUUCCUACAACAGCCGGGCAGGUGCUUUGAACCAGCAAACGCAGCGUGUUGGCAACACAGCUUUGUGUUUUGGAUUUUAACUGACAGGCACGGAAAACCAGAGCUCUGACAAGUGUAAAUUCCAAGUUUUGUUAAGGCUGUUAAUUUUUCACACUGGUGUCAAAAAAUAAUUGGGAAGAAAACCCUUCUGCCAGCUCCUUGCUUGUUUCCUGAAGUUACAUUUAAACAAUCCUUACAGGAAAACCCUCAAUUAAAUAUGGAAUAUUUGAGAACUGUUAUUAGCAAUCUGUAGGAGAGAUUGGAGUUCAGCACACAGAGAUGUUGCAAAAUAUUAAGGAAUUUCAAAUGUUGAAGAUACAAAGAGAUCUCAUCAACACACAGAUUGGAUGCUUUACCUUAACAGCUUCCACUUGUAGGUGGAAGAAGCAAAGCCUCCAUCCCUCACACCACAAGGUGUCCAGAACGCUGGAGCUGCACCACAGACACUGCACUGCCCCCACUGUGCUGCGUGCCAGAGACAGGGCACCUUCCCCUCGCUCUGCCCCGGGGCCUUGGCAGGGAAUACAGGUUGUGGGAUACAGGCUGGGUGUUUCCCAACUGCCUCUGAGCAUUCAGGAUCAGCUGCUCACUGCUCUGCAAGCCUGCCCCAAAGGCAGCACUUACGCAGUGCAAGGACACUGCCAGAAGCCAGCAAGGGAGAGGCGUCUUCGUUCCAAUUGAGACAUACAAAAUCAAAUCCCUCAUUCAAAAUCAAGGGGUAUUUUGUCAUGAAGCAGCAGCUUCAAGAAAGAAGAGCGUAAAAUCCUAACUUGAGUGUUACAAAUCUGUUUAUGUUACAUUUGAAGUUCAAAGAAACUCCUUGGAGUCUAAAGUACCAUAAUAAAAAAGUGGAAAGGAACCCAUGAAUCAGUUCUAAACUAAACUCAGUUUAGUAAAGAAAAUUAAAAUAAAUUAAUUUUUAAGUCCUUUCUUGAACAAGUCCAUUAAUGCUCCAGACAGGAGAGAAUGAGUCCUCUUUAAAGGGAAGAAGGAAGAUCUUGCUGGUUUGUAACUAGAUCUUUACAUCAAACUUCAGAACCUGAAUUACAAAACUUUUUUUAAAUGAUCUGUACUGCCUUCACAAAUAUUGUGUUGCUUCCUUUUUUUCUUUUUGUGGGACAGAGGGAAAUAUUUUCAAAUAAGCAGAAAGUUUCAAGUAAGAUAUUAUCAACAAAUACCUGCUGUUGUAAUAUACAAGAUGCACAGCAGCAGACUUCUGCCAGUUCCCUACCAAAACUUUAUGUUGCAAAGACACUCACUCUGGUGCUGUCAGGAUAGGCAGAGGGAACUUGCUCAUUGAGUCUGACACACAAAACCUCAAGCUGAGCAUAGUGUUUAAGUACUUAAAUCUGUCCUGGUGAAAUCUCCUCUUUGUAACAGGAAACAGAUUACAUAUGAGCAAAUCAUUUAUUAAAGUGAACCUCACUGUGGAAAGAUCAACUCUGCCAUGCCAAAUGGCAUUCCUAACACGGACCUCAGAGCCAGCUUCUGUGGGCAGCAUUCCUCUUCAGCAGGGAUCUAGAGACAGACCAGAUGCACAGCAGAAAACCCCUUCUCUAGUAAGAAAACUUGACUACAACUGUUUGUCUGAACCAUGUCUGCUUUUAAGCGUGCAGAAUUAUUCUAGCCUUUAUCCUAAGCACUGCCUCAAACAUUUGUGAUGUGCUAUUAAGCAUCUGAUGGCUAUGAGCAGAGGACACUGUUCUUGCACGUGACCCUUUAGCUAUUGGAGAUUUCUGUAGUUUUGUGCUCUUCUGCCACAGCUACCAAGAAGUCUACCUAGAGAAAUUAUUGUGUAGCUGGAUUUCAGGAAGCCAGUAGUUGAGAAUGCUGCUCAUUACGCUGCCGUGCUAAAAGCCAUUGGGAUAUAAAUGGUGUUGAAGCCUACAAGACCCAAGCCAGCCCAGCCUGACGCUGCAGUAGAGUCCCCCUCAGCACCAGAGGUGUGACUACCAUGGCAGAACUCGAGACUGAGGUUGCAGAGGAGCUGCUGAACAGUUCUCCUCAAAGUCACUCAGUUUUUGUUCAAGGGCAUUAAACAUGUGAACUUACAGUGUCAGACCAUCCACACUGACUGCAUGGAAGAGGAACAAGAACAAAGUACAUGCAUCUCAGUCACUUGAUGGCAGUCAUGAAGACAGAAUUCCAGCACUUGAACUAGACUGGCAGAUAGAUUUAUGUACAAUCAUGAAUGUUGCUUCCUUGUUCUGUCAAGGUAUAGGAGAGUUGAAUUCACCUCUCCCAGAGGUCAUGAGUUACUUUUUGUAGCAUGAACAGUGGUAGAAGAUGAAGGGCACAGCUGCAGAUAAAAUGGCUGCCAAAGCCAGAAACAGGACUGUGGUUCUUCACUUCUUUACAACAGCAACAUACCCUAUAGGAGAACUGCUGUAGGAGUGCCUGGUUAAUAUCUAAAUUUGUUUCUGGGACAGAGUUCAAGUCACUGAAGCAUUACACUGCAACUUAUUUUCUUAUGCUAGGUAAAGAAACCACUUUUAAUAGUUAGACUAGUCCAUUCCCACUCUGGUAACAAUAGUUUUGAAGUCAAUAGUGACUGGCUUUAGCAAGUGCUGCAGCACCUCAGUGACUGACAGAAGCAUUUGGAAAGUAUUUGGGACAUAGACUGGACCUUGACAACGUUUAAGACAUAUCAAAGGAAACAGUGAUUCUACUGUGUAAUACAUUGUAGAAACUUUCAUUAAAGAGCUAAAUGACCAAACCAAGUGGUAAGCUAUGCAAGUUCAACAGAUAGAUUCCACCUUUGGGGUAAUAAUGUCCAGUUUUUAAGCUCUUUUGUUUUGGUCCUUGACCAAAAUAUUUAUGUGCGGAGUAUCAAGGCUUAAAUAAGCUCUCAGCAUUUCUUUCAAGUUUGGACCAAACAGCAUUUAAGCCACCUCAAAAUCAGGGUGAUGAUACCCAGUUUGCACAGCACUGUUUCUGUUGUUCCUCCUCCCCAGGAUGAGAUACGAUCAGAUGUAAACUGAAUUCAAAACAAAAGAAGUGUUAAUAGUUCCAUGUGCAAUAAGACAUUUUCAAGGGAAAGCUACGCAGCAGGCCUUGAAUGUUCUCCCCUCUCAUCCUGUCCACACCAGCAUCACCCUGUCCUAAGCACAGCAGGGUAUGUACAGCAAUGUGCAGAGACCAGGGAUUCCAGCACACAGCAGAGCCACGGUGCUGGAGCAGUUUGCAAUGAAGACUGGUAGUGGUAUGGGAAUCCAAAAAAUGCUUAAGCUCGGAUUAUUCAGUUCCUAUGAAAAAGACCGUACAAUUCUCAUGGUACAUCAACAAGAUGGACUGGUAUGCCAACUAACCUCUAUUUUAAUAUUUAAAUUAUAACAAUACAAUAACUAGAAAAGGUCAGUGCUUCAAGUGACAGGUUUUGCCACUUCAAUUCCAAUAUUUUUCCAAAAUAAAGAUGCGAUUAGAUCUACACUUGAGCAUCAGUAGUGCAAUACAGUAUCCUUUCCUGAAUAAAGGAGCUGAGGUUUAUCCACAAUAAAAGCUUUAAAUAAGGUAGAUUGUUGCCAUUUAUAUAUCAAUUCUGUAUGUUUGAUAUAAAAUAUAUUGGGAAAGCUUCAACUGACUUAUACAAUCUACAUUUGGCUAAAGCUCCACAUAAGCAGCAUCAGUGGAAAUGAACAUCAGAGGUGUACUUAAUAUAAAACACUUUCAAAACUACUCAGCAACAAAUGACAGAAGUUUGGCUAAGAAUAA
This is a long non-coding RNA of Passer montanus (Eurasian tree sparrow), 5451 nucleotides long. RefSeq lists it as uncharacterized. Lineage: Eukaryota; Metazoa; Chordata; Aves; Passeriformes; Passeridae. The transcript is spliced from 2 exons. The record is from RefSeq and is a predicted model, not a curated record.